GGAGAGUACCGCUAAGUGGUCGGCAACUCGCGUGCUAAGCGGGGGCAGACAUUGUUCUGGAGGUUCGACUCCUCUACUCUCCG
This 83-nucleotide transfer RNA is filed under the name Gloeobacterales cyanobacterium ES-bin-313. RNAcentral describes it as "tRNA-Ser". Lineage: Bacteria; Bacillati; Cyanobacteriota; Cyanophyceae; Gloeobacterales. The record is from RNAcentral.